UAUGCUUUCCGGCUGAACGAGAUGUGCACACGUGACAGGAAUAUUUGGCGGGCGAGAUGCCCACUGAUAUGCUUCUAUGUUGUCGAGUGGCACUACCCAGACCGUGUCGCAAGACAAUUUGGGAGAAGGCAAGGGACACCAAGGGAUGAGAGUUUCGAGACAAGCCAAUUUCUGCAUCGAAUUAGUCGAAAGAAUAACCCGGAAACUUCGACUUGGGCCAUCAAGCACUCCGAGUGGAUAGAUUUGUGGAAUCAAAGAGUGGCCCUAGUGGAGAAGGAAAGAAUACAACAUAGUGAUUCAGUAUACGAAGAGCAUCUGAAGUGGCUUGCGGGACGUUACCGGUUGAAGCUAAAGCCCGGUUGGAACCGUUCGGAAUUGCAAGAGUUGGAUCGUGAGAGCGGGUAUAUGGACUUCAAUGUACAAACAGAGACAACGAAGGGACACAACUUGACUAUGCACAACUACACGACCGAGUGGGCAUGGAGUUAUUGCAUUAUGUUAACGAGGCUGGUGUAGCACUUGGUGAAGAUGAGGGAAGUGGAUCAUCUGAGAAAUCUCUUAGGAAAACAAUGAAGAGUUUCGUGAGUCGAUUCCACAAGAUGGCAGCUAUGCUCUCUUGCCAUGGAAGUAAAGCCGUCCUCACGGCUGGAGCUUCUACUAGUCGGGACAAUAGACGGCGUCGUCGUCUUGUCUUGCAACAGGAACAACAAGAGGAGCAACUGCAAGAAGAGACAGAGCAAGAGGAGGCACAGCAAGAUGAAGAGGAGUACAAUCAAGACGAAGAGGAGGUGCUUGGGAUGUCCCAAAUGGAUGAUGCGCCUGAGCCAUCACAGCCCACACAACGCACGCCGCGCAGCAAAAGAGGAAGGAAGAAGUGAAUUAGUUAAUACUAGAUUCUCGCGAACUUUGUUAUGUUUGAUUUGUGAACUUUAGAAGUGGCGUGAACUUUGCUACCUGGACUUGUGUUUAA
Long non-coding RNA from Triticum dicoccoides, 970 nucleotides. RefSeq lists it as uncharacterized. NCBI's taxonomy places the organism in Eukaryota, Viridiplantae, Streptophyta, Magnoliopsida, Poales, Poaceae. The record is from RefSeq and is a predicted model, not a curated record. The transcript is spliced from 4 exons.